GCAAGUAAUGUUUUUUCUCCUUAUCUUUACACAUAGUUAUAAAUCUGUUCUGUAGUUUAAUUAAAUUAAAUCGUUAAAUAGAGCUUCAGCUAUACAGUUUAAAGAGAAGACAGCUAACUAGCGGUUAGCCCUAAGAUUAAAUCUACCAAAAAUUAUUUAAACUGAGAUGUAGUGAGUAGAUACUUCUUUUGAGUAAAAUCUAACAUGUUAAAGUACAAGGCCAAAGGUUUACUUCUUCCUGUAGACCUUUUUGUUUGUAUUUUUACACCCAUUUCCCGCCAAAAUGUUAGCUUUCUAGCUAACAUGCUACUGAGCAGAUUAUUUUAGUUUAGCACAGCAUGAAUUUUAUUUAACAUGAGCUUAAAAUAGACAUUUUGUCUGUUUUAACGAGUUUCCUGAAAGUUUGUUGGCUUUAAAUCACAGCAUUUUAUUUGAAGUUGUAAAUAGCUGAUAUUUUUGUAUGCUUUGUAAAGCUCUCAGUGAACAUAUAUCCCAUAUAUCCCAGUGAACACUAGCUUGCUGCUAGCUGAAGUUCAGUCAGUUAGUUACACAAGAUGGUGGAUAGUUACACAAGAUGGUGCUGUCUGUCUUACCUCAGCGGCUACGAGCGCGCGCGUUACUGCUGCCGAUUCAGCGCCGCUUUCUGAGAGAAGUGUUUUAUGUGACGUGUUAAGAAGUUGUUUGUCAUCAGAAUGAGCGUUUUGGCCAUAUAACAGAGAAGGUUUUCUUACCAAAUACAUUAAAUCAGCUCUUCACUUUAUUGCUGCGUGCCUCAGUGUGUUAAUUCUGUGAGGUAUAAUUCAGAAAAAAUGUUUUUUAUGUUUCCAGUCGAUGCUAAGUGAGCUGAACUAAGACCUGAAGACACAGUUAAAUAAAAUACAAUACUUUUGCUUGGGAAAGAUUGAUCUUUGUGUAUUAUAUAUAUAUAUAUAUAUAUAUAUAUAUAUAUAUAUAUAUAUAUAUAUAUAUAUAUAUAUAUAUAUAUUGCUGUGUGCAAUGUCAGUCGUGCAUUUCUUUCUUUAGUUAAUUUCUUUCUAAUGAACUGACUGUAUAAUUAUCAACAUGUAUAUUUUAAAACAUUAGAUUAAGAAAGAUGUUGAAGUAAGAUAUCGAGGUAAACAUGUGUAUUGUGAAGUCAAAAUAUCAUUAAUAUUCAGAAAAAAAGAAACCACACACACUUUUCCUUUCCUUCUGACCCCUUCAAAAAAACACUGAAAAUAAAAUAGAAAUUGGUACAUACCACGUUAACAAGACAUGAAAUUUUAAAAUAAUUGAACUGACAAAAGUUCCAACGGAACCAAAAAAUAAAUGUUAUAAAAAACUAAUAGGAGAAUAAUGAGGACUAUUUGUUUAAUUCUUUCCUCGUUAUACUGUUUAGGGAGAGGUGUGAAAACAGGACACUCAUCCACAGUCAUCACCAGAUCUCGAAGCGCUUGUCUUUUCGGAAAGGCUCAAUAUCAGUAAUUCUGUUGUUGUGGAGUCUGAAGACACAACAAAGAUAUUCAAACUUUCAUUAAACAGGUCAGUCAUUACAUACACAUUACUUCCAUACCCAUCUAUAUACAUACAGUAUAUACAGUGUCUGUGUACAAACACAUACACAAACCUACCGAACUGUCUGUAUGUUCCUGUUAGUAGAAACGACUGUGUAGAUUCUUCCAGCUAAACCGUCACCUAUGUCAUUGUGACUCAGGCUAAGGAAAAGAACAAACCUAUGAAUACAAUGAGCACAGUGUAACUGCAGCUAACACACACACACACACACACACACACACACACAGCAUACUCACUCCAGGACAGCUGCUUUAUGCAGGUGUGGGAACAGCAGCUCUAGGCUGUGAUCAGUGAGCUGGCAGUGGCUGAGGUCCAGUUCAGACAGACCUUCAGAAAAUUCCAGAAACAAUGCUAGUGAUCUACAGGCAUUGAGGUCCAGAGGGGUCUCACUGAGGUCCAUCUCUUCAUCCAGCGCCUGGGAGAGGGACAUAGCAUGCCUCACACAGUCUGACUCAUUCACCACAUGAAGACGGGCCAGGAACCGGAGCAACAAAGGUUUACUACAGCUGAGUAAGGAUGAGAGAAAGAGAGACAGUUAAAACUUUUAAUAUACAGUCACACAUAUUCAAGUUAGUAAUUAGUCUCAAGUAGUCUCUAUGCAAUAAAGUGUACAAUUUCACUUUAGAGCUCAGUGGCAUUAAAAUACUGUAUGACUUCUACUGGACUGGUUAAAAAUAGAAAGUUGAUCUUAAACUGUACAACUUGGACAACCUGCCUAUGUGACUUAAUUGAAAAUGCAUCUUCUAGCCUGUAGCCACAGUGUCUAGACACAGUAGUUUGUCAUUCAGACUUGAGCAUUAUCCUGUAUGUGUGUCUCACCACAGUUUCACACUAUGUAGAAUGAGGAAGAGCAUGUCCACUCCAGUGUCCUCCAUCUCACAGUGCACUAGAAUGAGCUCUGUAUGUUGGAGAGAUUUCUGAAUGGCAGUGCUGAUGUCUCUGCAGUCCUCAGUGGUCAGAUGCAGAGUGUUAUCCUGUGUUUCUGUGGUCAGAUCCAAACCAGUGCUACAAGAGAAGUCCAGUCUGCUCUGCAGAGCAGAGAAAACUGCUGCUACUGCCCCCUGCUGGAUCUCAGAGAUACUGCAGCAGUGGAUCAACUUCAACAACAGGACCCUGUCAACACUGAGAGCAAGGAAAACAAGCAUUUUCUUUGUUACACUUAUGUAUUUUUUAAUUAGUGGUGCUUGAAAAGCACUACUAUUGUUCUUCGGCAUACUUAUUAUAAAUAUUAUUCUUCUUCUGCCACUUUUUUUUCGGCGCGUAACUAGUCCCGCACCGUUUGUCGGAGAUCGACGGGUGAGGUGUCAAAUCGAUCGGCUUAUUGAGUAGAGGUGUGCUAUGACUUUUGGUAGCGAUUGUAAUGUCGGCAUUUCCGGUACGGAAGCUCAAAGUCGGAAAAUUUCCCAUAGACUUGCAUUGAGUUUUGAAAGUAUUGGCACUCUAAAGAGAAAGCUCUAAAAGUUUUGCCUCCGUACACAUUCGGCUCUAAAAUGUAUUGGCACCUGAUCUGUUCGGCACUCAGAAGUAUUGGCACCCUAUCUGUCCGGCUCUCGAAAGUAUUGGCACCCUACGCGGGUCGGCUUUUGAAAGAAUUGGCGCCCCGUCCCAGUUUCGCCGCGUCAAGCACCACUCACAUUUUCUUCAGGAAAUGUACCGGUCUAGUUAUUACUGCAAUUUCUAUUACUCUAAAGUGGAUUGUGAACACUGAGUUACCUGAGCUGAGAAACUCUGUUGAACAGAGGGAGAAUCUUCACCAGCUCCCCCUCUGGUAUGGAGGUCCACAGCAGGCUCAGAGAGACAGAAGUACAGUGUUGGAGGGUGAAGCACAGGGCAGUACAGUGGUAAGAGUCCAGCUCUGUAUUGUUCAGGUUGAUACAGCUGUGUGUUGAACUCAACAGACUGGACACACAGUGAGCAGAGCCAGUCUCAUAGAUCUCUCUGAUGAUUGACAGCACAACACUGGGGUUCAAUCUGUAGAGGUUACAAUCACAUCCAUACAUAAAUUUAACGAUAAAUAUUAUUCUUCUGUUAAACCAAUACAGGAGAGGCAAUUCUUUUUAUUUAUUCCUUUUCUUUCCACAAGGUUUAUUAAUUAUUAAUAUUUAACGAUAUGAGCCUCUGAGUACUGAGUGUGGAUAUAUUAUUGUUCAACAUUGAAGAUAUGUCCAUUAAAUAAUGCAUUAAGAUAAUAGUGUAUCUGAUUAUCAUAAAUGUUUACGUGUGUCAUUAUUGGUGCAUUAAUAUGUGGUACAUUUCUAUUCCAGAAACCACACAUAUAGUAAAAGGUGUCUUUGGAAGCAAGAGUGCCUGAUCACAUGAUGUUGACUAAUAAAGAUGAUCAGACAGCCAUAAGAGUUGCUUCAUCUUGAAUCAGGCUCACAUUACUCAAACCGGUGUUCAUGUGGAUGUGACUUCAUCUAUUCUUUUACAUAGCUUUGAGUCUUUGGAACUUAACACAGACUCUGAAAGUGCAUUACCAAGCAAAAUUCACUAUACCUUAGUAUUACUGUUAUAAAAUUAUAAUUAGUUUCAGUUUCGGAAGGAUGUUAAUGAGUUAUGUACAGUAGGUAUCUAAUAUUGUUCAAUAGUACAUUAUUCAAAAGUAAGCAAAGAAACAUUUUAGAUGUAACCCACCUAAUAGUCUUAAAUUGCUACUCAACAUUUAAAGAUUAAGUAUGAAAGCAGAAAUUCUUUCAAAGGAGAUUACAUGUGUAUCUUCUUACCGUUUAAACUGAAUUUCAGACAGUAGAGGAAGAAUCUGUCUGGCAUGAUUAUAUGUGAUUUUGCUCUUUCUGAUGUUCGCACUAAUGCAGCAAACUCGCUGCUGGAGAAAAUAGAUAAGCUCCUCCCAACUGAGAGAACAGGAAGUCAGGUCUCCUCCCACCUUCUCCAGGAAAAAGCGGGUCAGUUCCCCAUCCUGCACCUCACACAGCAGACUGCAUGACACAUGAGGCUGAUGAGAGAGUGAGCCUCCAUCCUGCACUCAGUGAGAUUCACACAGUGAACAGUCCAGAUGUUCAGGAGAGAAGACAAACUGCUCAGAAAUGUGAAGAUCUCUUUCUUUGGGUUUAUGCUGUUAAGCCUCAGACAGAGCUCCUCAAUGACCAACGAGCCACCAGCUCUCACUGCUCCAAAUGCUCGGACCAUCCUCCCUACCACACGGUCACUCAGGCUGACAAGCGUUCACCAAACACAUUCAUUAAAGGGGAUUUCAUGGUCCAGCUCAAUUUCACUCAUGCAUACUAAAGCUUAAUGAAGUUAUAUAACCUGGUGUGAAAAUUAAGAAACUGAUUAAUAACAUACCAGAGUUUCUGUAGGUGUGUGAUGUGUCUGAAGAGAAGUCUGGCCCCUCGGAGAGAGAUGGCUCGGGGUUUCAGAGUGAGUUUGACUUUGGAGUCUGAGAGACGUAGCACUUUCCUCACAGCCCUGCACUCACGAGUGGUUAAAACCCAGUCUAUAAUGAAGAUGAAGUCCAAGGCAGCAAAGAAAGCUCUCACCAACUUUGUAUCUUCUGCGCAGUCAACAACUGCUUUACUUAAACGUGGAAUGAACUCUUCUUCACAUCUAAAACAGACAGGAUUAAUGUAAAACUAUAAAUAGGACAUCUUCUAACUUAUUGUUCUUAAAAUUCCAUAAAUAACAUGUUAGAGGUGAUGCAGUGCUGCUAUAAAGUUUGUGAACCUUUUACAUUUUCUGCAUUUCUGCAUAAAUUUGAUCUGAAAUGUGAUCAGAUCUUCAUCUCAGUCAGAA
Molecule: long non-coding RNA, 5304 nt
Organism: Ictalurus punctatus (channel catfish)
Lineage: Eukaryota; Metazoa; Chordata; Actinopteri; Siluriformes; Ictaluridae
Source: Ensembl